RNAcentral lists this long non-coding RNA (227 nucleotides) under Phoenix dactylifera (date palm). RNAcentral's name for it is "long non-coding RNA (PDAC_LNC022849)". The record is from RNAcentral. Lineage: Eukaryota; Viridiplantae; Streptophyta; Magnoliopsida; Arecales; Arecaceae.
AUAAAUUAAAAAAAUAAUGAGUGAGUGGCAAAUAAUUUGAUCUUUAUAAUAUUGAUAGGUACAGUAGAUUUGUCACCAUUUCAAUUAGUUAAGUAAGCUUGGGACUCAGUUCAUAUAGUCGCAAACACAGUUAACUCACCAUUGCAAUUAGGUUAGUAAGCUUGGUACACAGGUAAUACAGCAUGGCAAAUAUUUAAGUAAGCUUGACACACAGUUUAUCAAUGUUG